Molecule: ribosomal RNA, 710 nt
Filed under: Serratia marcescens
Lineage: Bacteria; Pseudomonadati; Pseudomonadota; Gammaproteobacteria; Enterobacterales; Yersiniaceae
Description: partial 23S ribosomal RNA
Rfam family: Bacterial large subunit ribosomal RNA
Source: RNAcentral
GGGGUGAGGACAGUGUCUGGUGGGUAGUUUGACUGGGGCGGUCUCCUCCCAAAGAGUAACGGAGGAGCACGAAGGUUAGCUAAUCACGGUCGGACAUCGUGAGGUUAGUGCAAAGGCAUAAGCUAGCUUGACUGCGAGAGUGACGGCUCGAGCAGGUACGAAAGUAGGUCUUAGUGAUCCGGUGGUUCUGAAUGGAAGGGCCAUCGCUCAACGGAUAAAAGGUACUCCGGGGAUAACAGGCUGAUACCGCCCAAGAGUUCAUAUCGACGGCGGUGUUUGGCACCUCGAUGUCGGCUCAUCACAUCCUGGGGCUGAAGUAGGUCCCAAGGGUAUGGCUGUUCGCCAUUUAAAGUGGUACGCGAGCUGGGUUUAGAACGUCGUGAGACAGUUCGGUCCCUAUCUGCCGUGGGCGUUGGAAGAUUGAGAGGGGUUGCUCCUAGUACGAGAGGACCGGAGUGAACGCACCACUGGUGUUCGGGUUGUCAUGCCAAUGGCAUUGCCCGGUAGCUAAGUGCGGAAAAGAUAAGCGCUGAAAGCAUCUAAGCGCGAAACUUGCCUCAAGAUGAGUCUUCCCUGGGCCUUUAAGGCCCCUGAAGGAACGUUUAAGACUAAGACGUUGAUAGGCUGGGUGUGUAAGUGCAGCGAUGCAUUGAGCUAACCAGUACUAAUGAUCCGUGAGGCUUAACCUUACAACACCGAAGGUGUUUUAG